RNAcentral lists this ribosomal RNA (323 nucleotides) under uncultured eukaryote. RNAcentral describes it as "partial 18S ribosomal RNA". It matches the Rfam family "Eukaryotic small subunit ribosomal RNA", at positions 1470 to 1796 of the family's 1831-position model. The record is from RNAcentral.
CCCUUAGAUGUUCUGGGCCGCACGCGCGCUACACUGAUGCAUGCAACGAGUUCUAUCCUUGGCCGGAAGGCCUGGGUAAUCUGUGAACGUGCAUCGUGAUAGGGAUAGAUUAUUGCAAUUAUUAAUCUUGAACGAGGAAUUCCUAGUAAGCGCAAGUCAUCAGCUUGCAUUGAUUACGUCCCUGCCCUUUGUACACACCGCCCGUCGCACCUACCGAUCGAAGGUAAUGAUGAGCCCUCAGGAUUGUGGCCUCGUCGCGUCAGCGUCUUGGCUGCGAGAAUCUGUGCAAAUCCCUACCUUUAGAGGAAGGUGAAGUCGUAACA